GAUGAACGCUGGCGGCGUGCCUAAUACAUGCAAGUCGAGCGAACAGACGAGGAGCUUGCUCCUCUGACGUUAGCGGCGGACGGGUGAGUAACACGUGGAUAACCUACCUAUAAGACUGGGAUAACUUCGGGAAACCGGAGCUAAUACCGGAUAAUAUAUUGAACCGCAUGGUUCAAUAGUGAAAGACGGUUUUGCUGUCACUUAUAGAUGGAUCCGCGCCGCAUUAGCUAGUUGGUAAGGUAACGGCUUACCAAGGCAACGAUGCGUAGCCGACCUGAGAGGGUGAUCGGCCACACUGGAACUGAGACACGGUCCAGACUCCUACGGGAGGCAGCAGUAGGGAAUCUUCCGCAAAGGGCGAAAGUCUGACGGAGCAACGCCGCGUGAGUGAUGAAGGUCUUCGGAUCGUAAAACUCUGUUAUUAGGGAAGAACAAAUGUGUAAGUAACUAUGCACGUCUUGACGGUACCUAAUCAGAAAGCCUCGGCUAACUACGUG
Molecule: ribosomal RNA, 497 nt
Filed under: uncultured bacterium
Lineage: Bacteria
Description: partial 16S ribosomal RNA
Rfam family: Bacterial small subunit ribosomal RNA
Source: RNAcentral